ACUCCGUGCUCUUACUUAUUAUUAUUUUUUUUUUUUUACACAGUAAAUGUGCGCUUUGUAUCCAUGUAGGUACAAAACUACAUGAAAUAAAAGAUUUGCUGCUUUCAUCAGGUCUUUUGUAAUCAAGAUGGUAUGACAGUCCUCAGUUCAUGUGGCAGGUCUACAAAAGCCUGUGACAUUAAUUAUUAAAGAAUGCCACAAAACAAUCUGCAUAUUAAUAAUUCAUGAUGCAUCAUUUGAAAAAAAGAAGAUGCAAAUAGUUUAAGGUAGUAAUUGACCAGAAGCUGCAUAACAAUGAGGCACCAGAAACUGGGACACUCGUCAAAGGUGUGAUUUUUGGUGAAUGUUUCUCAUGCAAGGAAUCUUGUUAAGCAUGCACACAGUGCAUUUGUUGGACUCCACGUUAUGGAGGAGACCACAGCCAAAAGCAUUUCCUGUACUCUUUGCAGUUGCACAAAAGUAUCUCUUGUGUGUAUGACUUCUGUGCAGCAGAACACACUAGUAUAUUUGGGAAGAGAGGGGGAAAAAAGUGAGCUUGCUAUUCAGUGUCAUUUCACAAUGUUUACAGCUACAAUUUACCUUGUGACAAAGCUUUCUCUCAGGGCAUUUAGGCUCUGAAACAACACACAGAAUAGCCUUUUUGUAACUGCCGGGUGAGGAGGAUUCACUCAUCCUGCCGCUCAAUGAGAAACAUUCAUUUGAUAACCACACAAUUGAAUCUGGUGUACGAACACACAGCUUGCAGCUGGUGGUGUCACCAACACAUGUACAGUGUGAUUUUAGGGUAAUAGUGGUUAUGUCAAAGGAGUACUUUAAGCAAAAAACAUGUAAAUAAAUUGUAGCCAAUUAGCCAAGA
Clarias gariepinus (North African catfish) is the source of this 856-nucleotide long non-coding RNA. RefSeq lists it as uncharacterized. The record is from RefSeq and is a predicted model, not a curated record. Lineage: Eukaryota; Metazoa; Chordata; Actinopteri; Siluriformes; Clariidae. The transcript has 2 exons.